GACAGAGGUGCCAAGCGUUUAGGCGGAAUCACUGGGCUUAAAGCGUGUGUAGGCGGAUCUGUAAGUACCUUGUGAAAAUCCCACGGCUCAACCGUGGAACUGCUCGGUAUACUGCUUAUCUUGAGCCACUUAGGGGCUACCGGAACAAAUGGUGGAGCGGUGAAAUGCGUAGAUAUCAUUUGGAACGCCAAUGGUGAAAAACAGGUAGCUGGGAGUGUGCUGACGCUGAGACACGAAAGCCAGGGGAGCGAACGGG
This 256-nucleotide ribosomal RNA is filed under the name uncultured bacterium. RNAcentral's name for it is "partial 16S ribosomal RNA". It matches the Rfam family "Bacterial small subunit ribosomal RNA", at positions 524 to 776 of the family's 1533-position model. The record is from RNAcentral.